This 73-nucleotide transfer RNA is filed under the name Centruroides sculpturatus (bark scorpion). RNAcentral's name for it is "tRNA-Val". It matches the Rfam family "tRNA". Rfam says of the family: Transfer RNA (tRNA) molecules are approximately 80 nucleotides in length. Lineage: Eukaryota; Metazoa; Arthropoda; Arachnida; Scorpiones; Buthidae. The record is from RNAcentral.
GUGCUUGUGGUGUAGUGGUUAUCACAUCCACUUUACACGCGGAAGGUCCCAGGUUCGAAACCUGGCAAGCACA